This 270-nucleotide ribosomal RNA is filed under the name uncultured bacterium. RNAcentral describes it as "partial 16S ribosomal RNA". It matches the Rfam family "Bacterial small subunit ribosomal RNA", at positions 29 to 284 of the family's 1533-position model. The record is from RNAcentral.
AACGAACGUUAGCGGCGCGCCUAACACAUGCAAGUCGCACGAGAAAGGGCUUCGGCCCCGGUAAAGUGGCGCACGGGUGAGUAACACGUGGGUAAUCUGCCUUUGAGCGGGGGAUAACAUUCCGAAAGGAGUGCUAAUACCGCAUAAGACCACGACUCCGAAAGGAGACGAGGUAAAAGCUGGCCUCUAUACAUAAGCUAGCACUCGAAGAUGAGCCCGCGGCGCAUCAGCUUGUUGGUGGGGUAACGGCCUACCAAGGCGAAGACGCGU